RNAcentral lists this antisense RNA (75 nucleotides) under Streptomyces sp. 3213.3. Its description in RNAcentral is "ASpks TB sRNA". It matches the Rfam family "ASpks TB sRNA". The record is from Rfam by way of RNAcentral. Lineage: Bacteria; Bacillati; Actinomycetota; Actinomycetes; Kitasatosporales; Streptomycetaceae.
CUUGACGGAGCCCAGCCACAGCGGGCUCUCCGGAUCCCGGUCCCGGCCGUACGUGGCGAGCAGGGCCUGCGCCUC